UACAGAGGGGGCAAGCGUUAUUCGGAAUUAUUGGGCGUAAAGGGCGCGUAGGCGGCUUGACAAGUGGCGGGUGAAAUCCCUCGGCUUAACCGAGGAACUGCCUGCCAGACUGUCUUGCUUGAGACCGGGAGAGGUGAGUGGAAUUCCCAGUGUAGCGGUGAAAUUCGUAGAUAUUGGGAAGAACACCGGUGGCGAAGGCGGCCAUCUGGCCGGUUCUGACGCUGAGGCGCGAAAGCGUGGGGAGCAAACAGG
This 252-nucleotide ribosomal RNA is filed under the name uncultured bacterium. RNAcentral's name for it is "partial 16S ribosomal RNA". It matches the Rfam family "Bacterial small subunit ribosomal RNA", at positions 524 to 776 of the family's 1533-position model. The record is from RNAcentral.